This 899-nucleotide ribosomal RNA is filed under the name uncultured eukaryote. RNAcentral's name for it is "bacterial SSU rRNA". It matches the Rfam family "Bacterial small subunit ribosomal RNA", at positions 66 to 1048 of the family's 1533-position model. The record is from RNAcentral.
ACGAAAAAUAAUUUUUCGUGGCGUACGGGUGAGUAAUACACAGGAAUCUGCCUUUUAGUUCAGGAUAAAAUUCUGAAUAACAAAAGAAAACUUUUCGCUAAAAGAUGAGCCUGUGUAGGAUUAGGUAGUUGGUAUUUGGGUAAAGGCCUACCAAGCCUAUGAUCCUUAGCUGUUCUGAGAGGUUGUACAGCCACACUGGGACUGAGACAAGGGCCAGGCUUCAUUUGGAGCCAGCAGUGAGGAAUUUUGGACAAUGAGCGAAAGCUUGAUCCAGCAAUACUACAUGAGUGAUGAAGGCUUUCAAGUUGUAAAACUCUUUGGUUGAGGAGGAUAAUGACAGUACUCAACAAAAUAGCCCCGGCUAACUUCGUGCCAGCAGCCGCGGUAAUACGAAGGGGGCGAGCGUUAUCCGGAAUGACUGGGCGUAAAGGGUCCGUAGGCAGCAUUUUUUGUUAGAGGUUAAAUAAAAAAGCUUAACUUUUUUCCGCUUCUAAAACGUAAAUGCUUUGAGUUUGAUAGGAGAUAGCAGAAUUUCACAUGGAGGGGUGAUAUCCGUAGAUAUGUGAAGGAAUACCAGAGGCGAAGGCGGCUAUCUAGAUCAAUACUGACGUUGAGGGACGAAAGCAUGGGGAGCAAACAGGAUUAGAUACCCUGGUAGUCCAUGCCCUAAAAGAUGAGUGCUCGUGCUUAGAUAUUUUUAGGCACUUAGUUAACACGUUAAGCACUCCGCCUGGGAGUACGACCGCAAGGUUGGAACUCAAAGGAAUUGACGGGGGCCUAUACAAGUGGUGGAGCAUGUGGUUUAAUGCGACAAUACGCGCGAAACCUUACCAGUUCUUGACAUAAAAAAGAAAAAGUUUGAAAGGACAAUUUUGAAGAUUUUUACAGGUGCUGCAUGG